CUCUAUGGCCUUACCACCCUGAAUGCACCCCAUCUCAUAUAAUCUCAGAAGCUAAGCAGGGUCAAGCCUGGUUAGUACUUGGAUGCGAGAAAUCUGAUCCUUGACCUAAAAGGUAGCCCAUAGUUU
RNAcentral lists this ribosomal RNA (126 nucleotides) under Propithecus coquereli (Coquerel's sifaka). Lineage: Eukaryota; Metazoa; Chordata; Mammalia; Primates; Indriidae. The record is from RNAcentral.